GAUGAACGCUGGCGGCGUGCCUAAUACAUGCAAGUCGAACGCUGAAGGAAGGAGCUUGCUCUUUCCGGAUGAGUUGCGAACGGGUGAGUAACGCGUAGGUAACCUGCCUGGUAGCGGGGGAUAACUAUUGGAAACGAUAGCUAAUACCGCAUAACAGUAGAUGUUGCAUGAUAUCUACUUAAAAGGUGCAAUUGCACCACUACCAGAUGGACCUGCGUUGUAUUAGCUAGUUGGUGAGGUAACGGCUCACCAAGGCGACGAUACAUAGCCGACCUGAGAGGGUGAUCGGCCACACUGGGACUGAGACACGGCCCAGACUCCUACGGGAGGCAGCAGUAGGGAAUCUUCGGCAAUGGACGGAAGUCUGACCGAGCAACGCCGCGUGAGUGAAGAAGGUUUUCGGAUCGUAAAGCUCGGUUGUAAGAGAAGAACGAGUGUGAGAGUGGAAAGUUCACACUGUGACGGUAUCUUACCAGAAAGGGACGGCUAACUACGUG
Molecule: ribosomal RNA, 497 nt
Filed under: uncultured bacterium
Lineage: Bacteria
Description: partial 16S ribosomal RNA
Rfam family: Bacterial small subunit ribosomal RNA
Source: RNAcentral